RNAcentral lists this ribosomal RNA (253 nucleotides) under uncultured bacterium. Its description in RNAcentral is "partial 16S ribosomal RNA". It matches the Rfam family "Bacterial small subunit ribosomal RNA", at positions 524 to 776 of the family's 1533-position model. The record is from RNAcentral.
UACGUAGGGUGCGAGCGUUAAUCGGAAUUACUGGGCGUAAAGCGUGCGCAGGCGGUUUUGUAAGCCAGAUGUGAAAUCCCCGGGCUUAACCUGGGAAUGGCAUUUGGGACUGCAAGGCUUGAGUGCGGCAGGGGAGACUGGAAUUCCUGGUGUAGCAGUGAAAUGCGUAGAUAUCAGGAGGAACACCGAUGGCGAAGGCAGGUCUCUGGGCUGACACUGACGCUCAUGCACGAAAGCGUGGGGAGCAAACAGG